ACGCACGCUGGCGGCGUGCUUCACACAUGCAAGUCGAACGGAAAGGCCUGCUUUCCCUUGUGGAUUGCGGGUACUCGAGUGGCGAACGGGUGAGUAACACGUGAGUGAUCUGCCCCCAACUUGGGUAUAAGCCUGGGAAACUGGGUCUAAUUCCCGAUAGGACUGCAGGGUGGUGCCUGUGGUGGAAAACGAUUUUCUAGUGGUUGGGGAUGAGCUCGCGGCCUAUCAGCUUGUUGGUGGGGUAAUGGCCUACCAAGGCGGCGACGGGUAGCCGGCCUGAGAGGGUGGACGGCCACAUUGGGACUGAGAUACGGCCCAGACUCCUACGGGAGGCAGCAGUGGGGAAUAUUGCACAAUGGGCGGAAGCCUGAUGCAGCGACGCCGCGUGGGGGAUGACGGCCUUCGGGUUGUAAACUCCUUUCGACCGCGAGGAAGCCACCUGGUUGGAAGGGUGGUGACGGUAGUGGUAGAAGAAGCACCGGCUAACUACGU
RNAcentral lists this ribosomal RNA (492 nucleotides) under uncultured bacterium. Its description in RNAcentral is "partial 16S ribosomal RNA". It matches the Rfam family "Bacterial small subunit ribosomal RNA", at positions 29 to 506 of the family's 1533-position model. The record is from RNAcentral.